GGGUUGUGAGGUUAAGCGACCAAGCGUACACGGUGGAUGCCCUGGCAGUCAGAGGCGAUGAAGGACGUGCUAAUCUGCGAUAAGCGCCGGUAAGGUGAUAUGAACCGUUAUAACCGGCGAUUUCCGAAUGGGGAAACCCAGUGUGAUUCGUCACACUAUCAUUACGUGAAUACAUAGCGUAAUGAAGCGAACCGGGGGAACUGAAACAUCUAAGUACCCCGAGGAAAAGAAAUCAACCGAGAUUCCCCCAGUAGCGGCGAGCGAACGGGGAGGAGCCCAGAGCCUGAAUCAGCAUGUGUGUUAGUGGAAGCGUCUGGAAAGGCGCGCGAUACAGGGUGACAGCCCCGUACACAAAAGCGCAUAUGCUGUGAGCUCGAUGAGUAGGGCGGGACACGUGGUAUCCUGUCUGAAUAUGGGGGGACCAUCCUCCAAGGCUAAAUACUCCUGACUGACCGAUAGUGAACCAGUACCGUGAGGGAAAGGCGAAAAGAACCCCGGCGAGGGGAGUGAAACAGAACCUGAAACCGUGUACGUACAAGCAGUGGGAGCCCCACCACUAAGCCAGUGGUGAACUCCACAUACGCAUCCUUUGCGGAAGGUGCGGUUAACGGAGCGAAAGCGACGUUCAACCUCAAAAGAAGCAGAGGGGGCUUAGUGGUGGGGUGACUGCGUACCUUUUGUAUAAUGGGUCAGCGACUUAUAUUCUGUAGCAAGGUUAACCGCAUAGGGGAGCCGAAGGGAAACCGAGUCUUAAUUGGGCGUUAAGUUGCAGGGUAUAGACCCGAAACCCGGUGAUCUAGCCAUGGGCAGGUUGAAGGUUGGGUAACACUAACUGGAGGACCGAACCGACUAAUGUUGAAAAAUUAGCGGAUGACCUGUGGCUGGGGGUGAAAGGCCAAUCAAACCGGGAGAUAGCUGGUUCUCCCCGAAAGCUAUUUAGGUAGCGCCUCGUGAAUUCAUCUCCGGGGGUAGAGCACUGUUUCGGCUAGGGGGCCAUCCCGGCUUACCAACCCGAUGCAAACUGCGAAUACCGGAGAAUGUUAUCACGGGAGACACACGGCGGGUGCUAACGUCCGUCGUGAAGAGGGAAACAACCCAGACCGCCAGCUAAGGUCCCAAAGUCAUGGUUAAGUGGGAAACGAUGUGGGAAGGCCCAGACAGCCAGGAUGUUGGCUUAGAAGCAGCCAUCAUUUAAAGAAAGCGUAAUAGCUCACUGGUCGAGUCGGCCUGCGCGGAAGAUGUAACGGGGCUAAACCAUGCACCGAAGCUGCGGCAGCGACGCUUAUGCGUUGUUGGGUAGGGGAGCGUUCUGUAAGCCGUUGAAGGUGUGUCGUGAGGCAUGCUGGAGGUAUCAGAAGUGCGAAUGCUGACAUAAGUAACGAUAAAGCGGGUGAAAAGCCCGCUCGCCGGAAGACCAAGGGUUCCUGUCCAACGUUAAUCGGGGCAGGGUGAGUCGACCCCUAAGGCGAGGCCGAAAGGCGUAGUCGAUGGGAAACGGGUUAAUAUUCCCGUACUUGGUGUUACUGCGAAGGGGGGACGGAGAAGGCUAUGUUGGCCGGGCGACGGUUGUCCCGGUUUAAGCGUGCAGGUGUGUGUUCCAGGUAAAUCCGGUUCACUUUAACACUGAGGCGUGAUGACGAGGCACUACGGUGCUGAAGCAACAAAUGCCCUGCUUCCAGGAAAAGCCUCUAAGCAUCAGGUAACAUCAAAUCGUACCCCAAACCGACACAGGUGGUCAGGUAGAGAAUACCAAGGCGCUUGAGAGAACUCGGGUGAAGGAACUAGGCAAAAUGGUGCCGUAACUUCGGGAGAAGGCACGCUGACAUGUAGGUGAAGCGGUUUACCCGUGGAGCUGAAGUCAGUCGAAGAUACCAGCUGGCUGCAACUGUUUAUUAAAAACACAGCACUGUGCAAACACGAAAGUGGACGUAUACGGUGUGACGCCUGCCCGGUGCCGGAAGGUUAAUUGAUGGGGUCAGCGCAAGCGAAGCUCCUGAUCGAAGCCCCGGUAAACGGCGGCCGUAACUAUAACGGUCCUAAGGUAGCGAAAUUCCUUGUCGGGUAAGUUCCGACCUGCACGAAUGGCGUAAUGAUGGCCAGGCUGUCUCCACCCGAGACUCAGUGAAAUUGAACUCGCUGUGAAGAUGCAGUGUACCCGCGGCAAGACGGAAAGACCCCGUGAACCUUUACUAUAGCUUGACACUGAACAUUGAGCCUUGAUGUGUAGGAUAGGUGGGAGGCUUUGAAGCGUGGACGCCAGUCUGCGUGGAGCCAACCUUGAAAUACCACCCUUUAAUGUUUGAUGUUCUAACGUGGACCCGUAAUCCGGGUUGCGGACAGUGUCUGGUGGGUAGUUUGACUGGGGCGGUCUCCUCCUAAAGAGUAACGGAGGAGCACGAAGGUUGGCUAAUCCUGGUCGGACAUCAGGAGGUUAGUGCAAUGGCAUAAGCCAGCUUGACUGCGAGCGUGACGGCGCGAGCAGGUGCGAAAGCAGGUCAUAGUGAUCCGGUGGUUCUGAAUGGAAGGGCCAUCGCUCAACGGAUAAAAGGUACUCCGGGGAUAACAGGCUGAUACCGCCCAAGAGUUCAUAUCGACGGCGGUGUUUGGCACCUCGAUGUCGGCUCAUCACAUCCUGGGGCUGAAGUAGGUCCCAAGGGUAUGGCUGUUCGCCAUUUAAAGUGGUACGCGAGCUGGGUUUAGAACGUCGUGAGACAGUUCGGUCCCUAUCUGCCGUGGGCGCUGGAGAACUGAGGGGGGCUGCUCCUAGUACGAGAGGACCGGAGUGGACGCAUCACUGGUGUUCGGGUUGUCAUGCCAAUGGCACUGCCCGGUAGCUAAAUGCGGAAGAGAUAAGUGCUGAAAGCAUCUAAGCACGAAACUUGCCCCGAGAUGAGUUCUCCCUGAGACUUUAAGUCUCCUGAAGGAACGUUAAAGACGAUGACGUUGAUAGGCCGGGUGUGUAAGCGCAGCGAUGCGUUGAGCUAACCGGUACUAAUGAACCGUGAGGCUUAACCUUACAACGCCGAAGCUGUU
RNAcentral lists this ribosomal RNA (3033 nucleotides) under Salmonella enterica subsp. salamae serovar 57:z29:z42. Its description in RNAcentral is "bacterial LSU rRNA". It matches the Rfam family "Bacterial large subunit ribosomal RNA". Lineage: Bacteria; Pseudomonadati; Pseudomonadota; Gammaproteobacteria; Enterobacterales; Enterobacteriaceae. The record is from RNAcentral.